CAUAAUGUUUCAGAUUUCCUGGAUGUUUGUGUAAAGAUUUUUUUUAGAUUUAAUAUUUUGGUCAAUGUACUUAUUUCUUUGAGCAUAUCUUCAAUGCAUGGCAGUCUCUAUUCAAUCUCUUGCCUCCUGUUGGUGAAGCUCGCCUCUGUAGUUCCUUUUUGAAAUCCUAAAGCUUUCAUUUCCAUAAUUCUCUGUUUGUGUUUUAAUUAUUGCUUCUUUUUAGAUGUUUAAGUCUUGAAAAGCUUUAUUAAUUUCCUUAAACUAUUUGUGUGUUCCAGGUUUCUUUAAGGGAUUUAUUCAUUUAUACUUUUAGGACCUCUAUCAUAUAGUUCGGUUUAAGGUCUUUCUUGAACUUCAGCCAUGUUGGAAUAUUCAAGGCCUGCUCUGGUAGUAUAGCUGGGAUCUAGUGGGCAUAUAGUGUCCUGGAUAUUUUUGAUUGUAUUGAUUGAUAAAAAUACUUGCACCUUGGCAUCUGAGUUUGGAAUUGUUCAAGGUUAGGUGCUCAUUUCUGGAUUUGUCUUUUUUGAGUGGUUUCUGUUUCCUUUCUGGAUUUUUGGAGUGUGAUAGAUGUGUCGCCUAUUUUCCUGGCCUAUUUAGCUGAUGUUGAAAUCUGGGUAACUGGGAUGAAUUGGGGAAGGAAGGUUGAGGAGAAGGUCUUUAUGGUACAUUGAAAAUAGUGUCAAAGAGGAAAGGGAGACCACAAGUGGUUUCUAGCUCCAGAUCUGGAAAUAAAACUGGGGCUAUUGGCUCUCAGGAGUAGUAGGUGAGGUGUGGGUCUGCCUUAAGCAUGCUUGUUGCCCUGGGAAGAGAUACCCAAGGGUAAGCAAUGGGUGCCUGCUGGGGUUUUUGUCAGGGACAAAGCAAGAAGUUGGAAGAGGUUAGGGGGGAUUGUUUGUGAAAUCCACAGGAGAUGUACACAGGAGUGAGGGAAUCUUGCAGCUGAUAUUGUGUUGCAGCUCUACAGAUGAGACUGUGGAAUUGAGUCUUUCUCAAUUGAGAGAGAAGAAAGAGUCUGUGGGCAACUUACCUGGUCUCUUGUACAGUGUGGCCUGUGGUUUAGCAGGGGGUAUCUGUUGGCAUUGAGGGCUUGGAUAAAGCAACAAAUAGAGGGAUGGAGGUUAAGAGGGAAUGGUUUGUGGGAUCCAAAAAAGAUGUGGUGAGGGGUGAGAGAAGGAUGCAACUGGUGUUCAGUUGCAGAACUAGGGAUGAGACUGGGGAUUGGGUCUUUUUGAACAGAGAGAGAGGAGGUCUGCAGGAAGCAUACCUCUUGUGUGACUUUCUGCUCUUGCACAAGCCUCAAAUGACCAACCAACAUUGCUCAGGUCCUUGUCCCCUCUUGUGUCUUUCAGUGAUCUGUGAUGCCUUCUUUGACCCCACAGCAUCACACUUUUCAGGGGCGGUUUCGGUAUAUCACCUACCACUUAUGCCUAUGAGUCAAGAACUGGAGAUACAAUUUAUCUUGCUUGGGUAAAUUCUAAGACACUUGGACAUAAGCAACUGAUCAGGUAAAAAAAAAGAGGGUUAUGCAUAGCUAUAGUUGGGAUACCUUGAGGUGGCCAUGCUAAGGGGAUGUAGGAAUUUACCAUUAACUUUCCUGCCUACUCUUUAACAUCUGCUUCCCAUCACACUGGCAAUGGAGAGGACCAACACUUCAAGGGCUUUUUGUGAAAAUAGUCAUCCAAACUACAAACCUAGAAGACUCUUCAUACAAAGUUGCCAGAUUGGCAGCCCUAGAACACAUCAAAGAUACCAAUAUCACUUCUCAGGUCAAUUGGACACACUGAUAACUAGAAAAUUUUGGUGGUGGACUGUGGUUCUGAGUAUUCUUGACUAUAAGCCCUUCAUUUGGGACUUAGUGAUCAAUCUCCAAACCUGCAGGCAACACAAACUGUGGUAGGCAAGUGCAUCACAACAGGCAUUCUCUUCUGGACCUCAAUGCCAGAAUAAAAUUAGCAGAACAAGAUGCAGAGUCAUUUAAAGACCUUCUAGUACUGUCAAAUAUCAGCUAGCUAGUGUUAAUAGUGAAAUGAGUGAGUAGUAGGGUGAGUGGAGUGGCCAUUUUUGCUUUCCUUGCCCUUGUUAAUAUUUAUCCAUACAUUCCUGUGUGUGCUGGGCCUGAUGUAAUUCAGGAUCGAGUUUCUGGAGGUCUUUCUGCUCAAUGGCACUAUGCAUUGAUUAUUUGAUAUAUGGCAUACAAAACCACUCUCAAAUGUUCCUUCCUCUUGGUCACCUUUCACAUUGCCAGCAGGUACUUGUUCAGCAAGUAAGCAAAUAGUCUACUGCACAAUCAUACUCUUUCAAAACACAGCUUGCCCAGGUUUUGUCUGGCUGUGGAAAUAUUUAUCUUUUAAAAGAGGACUUGUCUGGAUCAAUGAUGAAAACAACUUUCUGAAAAUGGUGAAUAACAUACAAAUGGCAAUCAGAGGAUCAGAAAUGAGUCCUUCAAAUAAGACAAAUAAGAUUUUCAAAGUCUGCCUUUGCCUCAUGAGCCACUGGUGAAGUCCACUAACCACUAUGUGUGGGUUUUGUCUCCUAGCUUUUGAGGUAAUGUGUAUAGUAAUUUUGUCUAGUGACCAAGAUUUGCAUCAUUCUUCUUACUGUGAAUGGAGCUGCUGACACUUUCAUCAAGGAAAUUUAUAACAAAUAAAAACAAUGGAAAUAAGGAAUCAAAAGCAGGGCAAGGAACUGGAAUAUAUGCUGACAGUCAUACUAGCAUUUCAAAAACAAUAUUGCUUUCCUGUUAGGUAAGUAUAAUGGAACAUACUUUUUACAUCUUCUAUUAGUGUUAAGGUGUUUUAGGCAAUUUCUUUUCUUUUUUAUUGUUUUAGUGAUCUAAGACUGGAAAAUUCAGUUCAGAUCCAUAGGACCUGUCCACUUUGCUUGUCAACGGAGAGUCUCUGACUUGCCUGGAAGAUUGAAGAUCAGCACAGGUUAUACUGUCAAGAAGCCCCAGGCAUUUGCCAGUACCAGUACCUGACUACCUAGUAUCAGGGCUGCAAUGCCCACUCCAUUUUUCUCUUCUUUAACAGAGUUUUGGGGAUUAAACUUGGAUCUACUGUGAGCACUCUACUAAUUGACCUAUCUUCUCAGCUCACAUACAUCAUUUUCAGAAAAAAAGGAGAAAAGGAAGAAAAUAACAAAGGAAUCAGGGAUUCUAUUCUGUGACUACUACUCAUACAAACUCUGAAGUAUGACUGCUGCUGCUACUACUACUACUACCUGUUACCAUAAUUCAGGUCCUAAUAACUCUUAAGAGAGCAACUGGAAAUGAUUACAAACAGCGGGUAGAAGCUAAGAAAGCAAAGGCCACAAGCACCAAAACUUAUAUCUAUUUUCUCCCAGGCACAAAACUGGGAUCAUAAACUUCCUAGUUUCCCUCACCUUUACAGUAAAUGUCACUUUCACCAAAGGCUUUACCCUUUCCGGGUAACAAAACACAAGACAUUUUAUCUUAUUGGAAAAAGAUGAAUGACAUUUUAUAUACUAAAAUUUUAGAAAUUAAAUAUCAAAUAAUGCUCAAAACUUAAUCCUUUAAUCAAGAGUAUUAUAAUCAUUAAAUAUUUAGGGGAGGAUAAUUUUAUAGUUAUGUUGCCAAUUCAUCCCUACCUUCACUGUGUCAAGUAUUUCCUUAUAUACAUUCAGCAUGUAAAAAUCCUUUUUUAAGAAAAUUAUUUAUUGAUGUUUACAUCCUGGCCACAGUUUCUCCUCCCCCUCCUCUCCUCGCCUCUCUGUUCCCACCCCUGAAUCCACUCCUCAGUUUCUGUUUAGGAAAGGGCAGGUCUCCCAUGACAGUCAAAAAAACAAAGCAUGCAAAAACCUUUCCUAUGAUUCCUACAUAUUAUUCAAGGUACCUACUCAACAGUAAGAGACAAUAUAAAAUUCAAGUCAUCAUUGACAGAAUGGCUUCCAAAACAUAAACCAUGGAACAAUAAGCAUUAUAUACUGCAAACCUGAUCUGUAGGCUGUUCCAAGAAUAUCAACACAUUUGUUUUAUGAUCUUGAAUUCUUUCUUUUAAAAAGAAGUGUUGUUCUUAUAUAUAUAUAUAUAUUUAAUAGGGGUAAGGGGGCAGCAGACAUGUGGUGGUGAGAGGAUAACCUGAAGGAUUUGGUUUUCUCCUUCUAUAAUGUGGGUCUCAGGCAUCUAAUUCAAGCCAUGAAGCUUGGCAGUAGGUACAUGUACCUAUGAGCUAGUAUGCCAAUCCAAGGACUAACUCUUCAGUUUCUUGAAAAUAAGUAAGUAUAAAGAACUAACAUUGAGCUUAUUUCUCAUUAUAACUGGAAAAUACUAUAGUAUCUUCUUUGAUCAUUCAAGUCUACCUAAUUUUUCUCUAAAAUGUAACCAAAAACAUAGAAAAUAUCUAUAAUGAAUAAAGAGCCUGUUAGGAGAUGUUUGACCUACAAUCCUACAAUGUACCAAUACUUGUUCUAAUCAGUGUUUUGCUUGAAAUGUUUAACUGACAACUCUCCUCUCUUCCCCACCCCUCUCUCCCUCUCUCCUUCCCUCUGUGUAUGUGUAUCUGUGUGUGUAUGUAAAGCACUGCUAUCAGAAAUACAAAUAGUUACAGUCUGGCUAUCAAUGAACGGGGCUAAACCAUUUAGUACGUUCAAUUCUGAUUCUUCCAACAAAAAGCCUCCGCAUCAAGACGGGGAAAACGUCCUUUUCAUUUUCUCAACUGAAAAGGGGGAGGGGAGAGGAGGAGGUGGAGGCCAACUGCUUACAGGUUUGCAUUUAAAUUUAACAGCAGUUUCUGAGGAAUCCAGUAACUAACUCACGUUCAACUACUGAAUUCUAUCAGAAGCAGCACACGGAGAAACUGAGAGCGCAAUCCUUGGGCUUGAUGUGCGGCUUCAUCCGUCUUUCCUUUCCAAGAUCCACCCCCAAUACCCCAACCCGUUAAGCACACGUCUAAAUAUGUCUUCCCACCCAGAGCGCCCCUUUGGAGGAAAAGGCCUGCCCUUCGCAGCCUGAAGCCACGGCAGGCUCUCCGAUCCCUGCUUCGAUGAGGCCCCAAUUUCGAUGCCCUGCACGUCCGCCCCACCCCGGGCCCACACGGGUACCCGCGGGCGACAAAACCCUCCCUCCAGCGCUCAGCCAGCACUGACAGUUAAGGCUGCAGCAGCCGCAGCCACCAGGGCCUACUCCUGGCACCGGCCCCUCCAGACCACGCGCCCCAAGCACUCGCUCACGGAGGCGGGUGAGGGCCCGGGCGCCUACCCUGCCUGAGCCGCCCAGAGGGUGACGAGAGGGCCGGCGGUACAGAUCAGAGGGAGCGCGCCGGGCAGGCCGCGGCCGCAGCAGCACUGACCUGUCCUCGCCCCCGCGCCUGGGCUGCGGCCGCCUCACUGGUCCUAGUUGCCCUCGUCUGCCGCCGCCGCCCGCCACCGCCUCGUUCCCUUUCGCUGGCGCCACCGCCGAAGCUCAUGCGGGACCCACGCUACUCCUCAGGAAACCGAGGCCGGGAGGCCAGGCGCCCGGGCAACGCUGGAGUCGGCGCGCUGGUCCGCUGCUGCCGCGGUCUGUCCACAGUGGGGUGCGAGGGAGGCGAGCAACUCCGAGGAGAAGCAGAAGGAGGCGCCACCGUCCGCGACAGGUAGACAGAGGAGAGGCGUGAGGAGGCGGUGGACGGCUGCGUGGCCGGGUGCGCGAGCGAGCGCAGGAGGGGGCAGCGAGGUGCGGGCGAAGACGCAAGGCCCUGUCGUCUCCUGUAGUCACCCCCAGAGGAGCGCCACCAUCUUGGGAGAAACACACGGGUCUCGCGAACGCAGCGCAGGACGGGAGGACUGGGUGGGCGGGCCGAGUAUCCCGACAGGCAGCGCGCGCCGCCCUGCAGGGCGAGGGCUCCGAGAGGAGAGGCGGGAUGCGAGGCGAGGUCGCGCGUGCGUGGGAGGGCGGCAGGCAGCUGCCCCGCCCCGCUCGCAGCUCCGCGAGGCCCUCCCCACCCACCCCCCCCGCCCAGUUCGGCUUCGCUAGCGGCGCGGGGACCGGUGGGAAGGGGAGAUGGCCUUGGGCUCCGUGGAAGCCAGCCAGGCGCUGUCGCCAUCUUGAGACAGGGCUGGGAGAGGCUUGGUGCUUUCAGGCCGUGCUCCUUUCAUCCAGCCCCCUGUUCUUCAGUGUGCUCAGGGGGAGCGGCCCGGGCUAGCCUGCCGAGGACAGCCUCAGGGUCAGUUAGGCGGACUAAUGGGUUGCGAGAGUCGGCCGAGGCGGUGUACCCAGGCCGAGGCUCGAGGCGGAGCUCAAGUGUUCAGUUGCUAGGGCUGACCCCUAGGGCUUUUCACCCGAGCUGCCCUGGUAAACGUUGCAAGGGUUGCUGAGAGUGGACAAGCUUUCAGCACACGAGGUCAUCAGCUCAGGCCUCUGCCAGCACAGGCUAUGUCCCAGGUUUACCAGACGAGAAGAUAAAAGCCUAGGUCCUGCAGAGUCGUCUUCCAGUAGGCUGUCAACUGAGAGAAGUAACCGCCUGCUGAAUCCCACAUGGAUGGCUAAUUUUGAUGUAUAUAACAGCUGAACCAUGUUAAAGCCAUGGGUCUUGAUGGUACCCGAGUGACCUUUUUACUUAACGGGUUUUGUUGUUGUUGUUAAUGGCUUUGACACUUGCUACUAAAUUAUAAAGACUGGCUGACAAGUCAUUUUCUGUUUUAUAACAUUGUGGAUAAGCCUUAAUCAUAUAGUACUCAAAAUGUAACAAUCACAAGGUAGCAAUAUAUUUUUUCAUUACUUAGAACUUACACAAAUGUGUACAUAUAUGUGUGUAUACCCCAACUUCCCACUAUAAACAGUUAUUUAUUAAAACUAAGCAAGAGGGUGAAAAAAGAAUGUAAGCUAUUCUGGGAUAAAUGAUAAUAAAUGAUAUUGUUGUAAUGUCA
Non-coding RNA from Peromyscus maniculatus bairdii (prairie deer mouse), 6864 nucleotides. NCBI's taxonomy places the organism in Eukaryota, Metazoa, Chordata, Mammalia, Rodentia, Cricetidae. The record is from RefSeq and is a predicted model, not a curated record.